RNAcentral lists this unclassified non-coding RNA (10393 nucleotides) under Portunus trituberculatus (swimming crab). Its description in RNAcentral is "transcription factor HIVEP3-like, transcript variant X1". The record is from RNAcentral. Lineage: Eukaryota; Metazoa; Arthropoda; Malacostraca; Decapoda; Portunidae.
AGUAUAGAACAGCUCUUAGUCUUGUUGGUGGAAGGUGGUGUGGCGGACGUUGUGUUUCUAUAUGAAUGCACUGUAUUUUUUUCACAUUUCCUAACCUGCUGGACUUGAGAAAUACACGAUCCGCAACCAGUGAGGCGGGCGUGUCUGUACCGUGCAGGGGAGAGUGUGUUGCCUGUCGUGUACAAGCUGGGGGCGGUGAAUCUUGAGUUAAAAGUGGAGGAGGAGGAGGAAGCCCAUUACUUUCCUAAGGGUCUUUAAAAGCUAUACUCGUUGUGGUGUUUGUGUUAGAUGCACGGCGGGCUGACGGUGUUGAGCCUAGUGUGUCAUAAGUCCUGACAAAUGUGACGAGAUUUAAGGACAAUAUUUCGUGUUUACCGUGUACGUGUGUGUGUGCGCGCGUGUGUAUGUAUACGCCACCACCAGUCACCACCACCAUCACCACUACCAGUUGAGACAAAGGCCAUGGUGAUGAUCCUGCUCAGGCCACGCGGCACUGCCCUCCUUCACCCGCACGCCACCGACGCCACUGCUGCUGCUGCUGCUGUCACCCUCGCAGCCGCCUCCUCUCUUGCUGCGGUUUCUGCCAUCAUGGUGAGAGUGGGCGGCGGGUGUCCCAGCGAGGAGCCGUAGUGCUGAGCCUAACAUGUCGAGGGUUGUGCCGGCCCCAUGCGUCCCAUGGGUGUGAUCACGUGUGCAGCCCCCAUGAACACCUCCAGCAAUGUCACUUACACUCACAAGAAGUUCAAGCGAGCCCCCAUUGAAGCUUCGGAGGCCCUUGACCACCAGCACCCUCCUCCCCUGCAGAGGGAGGCCCCAGCCGUCCCUAACAAGGCCUCCACACUCUGCAUAGAGACUCCCCUCACCCCCACCAAUGGCCUACUGGUCACCUCCCCGGCCUCCAUCCCUGCUGCAGCCACCAGCCCCGCCGCUCCUGAGGUGGAGGAGGCCAGGAGGAGGAAUGGCCGUGGAGGGAAGUACAAGUGUGAGUACUGUGGCAUGGGGUGUGCCAAGCCAUCAGUGCUGGACAAGCACAAGCGGACACACACCAACGAGCGGCCGUACAGCUGCAGCCAGUGCAGUACUGCCUUCAAGACCAAGAGCAACUACCUGAAGCACACGCGCUCGCGCUCCCAUGCCCUACGCCUGGACGGCCCCGAGGGCAGCGAUGGGGCAGUGGAGUCUGGAGACAAUGGGGACGGAGAGGAGGGCACCCGCUAUCCUGGCGGCCAGCAAUGCCUCCCGCUGGAUGUUUCCUUGGCAAGACACCCUGAUCCACCCAGCUCUUCCAUGGCUACUCUGGGAGCCCCAGAUGCCUCCAGGGACCAUGGGAGCUCCAUAUACAAACCCAAGUUCCGGGUGAGGCCUCAGUACCUCAUGGGUGAGGAGGAGGUCUCGCCCCCAAGACCUGAACACCAGACCACACCCCCAAGAGACCCUCCCGAUGGACAUGCAGCCAUCACCUCAACAUAUCAUGCUCCUUCCACCCUUAGUCACCCUGGUGCUCACCCUGGCCAUCCUGGCCUCCCCCGUCACUGCCGACCCCCGCAGGAAGUCCGCUCGGCCCCAAGAAAGGAGGAUGUUGGUAUUACUGGCCCCAGCAGCUCCUCACCUUCCCUGAAGAGUGUCACUCUGUGGAAGGGCAUAGAGCCUCCUAGCCCAGAGGUGGUGGGGCAACACAUCAACAAGCUCAUUGUGGAGAACGAGGCCAUCAUAGAAACCCACACCCUGUGGCCCCGUCGCUACAAGAGGCAGCCCAGCCUGGGAUCCUCUUCCAGUGAGAGUGAGAGCUCUGGCAGCGGCAGUAGUCGGAGGGGCAGUUUGGCUGACCCCGUCACUAAGAGUUCAAAGGGCAGUGUGCCUGCCCCAACCCUGCAGGGUCAGCUCAGGGAGAGGAGUCACUCCCUCACCACAGAGGCCAUGCUGGCUGAUUCCCGGUGUUCGUACAGUCCCCGUCUUCCACCCACCACCCUUCACCUGCCUCUUGCUCAGCCUACGGCCAGUGCUUCCAAACCUUCCAUAUCAUUGCCAGGACUCACUACCUCUUACUCUCAGUCACCACCUCCCCACCUCGAGUCCAGCCUCUAUGAAGUCUCAAGGAAGAGGUGCCUGUCCGAGGGGCCCGGCAUCCCCAGGGACCUCACCAAGGGUCGCCCCACUCGCCCACUGGAGGACCAAGCUGAUCUACAAAGGCAACAUCACCCGAGAAAUCCUGAAGGUUCGGUCAUCAAGAACUUGCUUCUGGGAUCCCAGGCUUCCAUGGACCAGCGUGGGCGACUUGUGCCCCACGGUGAUGUGGGGUCCUUCCCCUGCAGCAGGUGCCGGAUGCCCUUCAGGACGCUGGAGGACCUGGAUGUCCACAUGCACCACUUCUGUGGCCAACGGUCAGGGCUCAGCAGUGACAGGGGCACCCCAGAGCUGAUCAAGAAUGGGGAGGGUGGCCGGUGGGUUGGGGAGCAGGAUGUGGCGCUUGACCUCCACGUAAAACAUGACUCAGUGGAUCUUGAGCGGAGUUCCUCACGAAGUUCUUGUGGGGUGGAGGACCUCUCUCAAGAGUCCCACAUACAGCAACAGUCCCCAAAGGUGCAUCGUAGCAGAUCUGCUCCCGACGGCACUGCUCCUCAUGUCAAGAAGAGGAAGCAGUCGGCCCCGGACGAGUGUUCCCUUCCAUUCAACCCCAAGAGUCUUGAGGCUGGCAAGCUGAAGAACCACCAGCUGUUUGGAGGUGAAGUGCAGAUCUGUGAUGGUCAUGAACGCAAGACCAUGAGGAUAGAUCCCGGCCAGCAGGCCAGCCCAGCCCUGGAAAUCUGUAUACCACCCCAGCAGUUAGGUGGAGGAGCCCUGGCUAAGGCAGAGAGUUCAGUGCCCACAUCUGUGGUGGUGACCAUUGCUAAAUCAAGCCUCCACUCAGGUGGUACCAUGGUGCAGGUAGAGAGUCAGCUUAGCACCACCACUAAGACCACUCCCAGCCUUGUGACCUCAGCUUCCCACCACAAGGAGCAGCCCACACCCACCAUUGCCAAGGUUGUCCAUCCCACCACCCCUUACGCUGCUGAAGGCAGCCACUUCCCAUCCUUUCCUUACUUUACAGAGUUUGCACCCCACCUGCAGCUCCCAAACCUAGCCAUUCCUGGCAUCCCUACCCCAGACCUGGGCAGCCUGUCCUUCACUAACUACUGUCCACGAGUCCCUAAUCCAACCCUCCUCCAUCCUCAGACCACCAUUGCCCACACUGCACCCAACAACCACAAGCAAAAUGUACCCCGGUCCCCAGCUGAUUUGCCUAAAGCCCCAUUCACUCCUCCUUUCCCCGGGGCUCAGGGACAGGCCUCAUCAGGUGUAAUACAUGGGGGUGUGGUCCGUGCUGCACCUCCAGAGGCAGAGUCGAACCUCUCCCAGCCUCGGGACAAAGAAAAAGAUCCCUUAGUGGGUAAGGGACUGCCAAAGCAUGGACUGCCCACUCUUAUACCAUUUGGAGACACCAAAGUGCCACACGUGCCUGGCAUCCCUGGACCAUACUCCCAGCCCAGCCCAGUGUGUCCCUUACCAAACGGGGGCCAACGGCGACAGCCAGCCAUCUUCACCCUCCCAUCACAGACCUGUGUGACCUUCAGUGCUCCCAUCACUUCCGUCCCAGUCAGUUCCUUGAGGGAGACGAGUCUGGCUGUGCCAAGACCACGUGAGCCUCCCAGGAGCCCUGGGAGGGAGCGUGGUCCUGCUGGGAUCAGCACCCUGAGGCUUCCGCAACACCUCCCUCACAAGGACCUCCUCAGCCCCAGACCCAGGCCCUCCCUUGGUUCCCCCAGACUUCCAGAACUGAAGCCCAUCAACCAGGAGACCAAGCUGCUCCCUGCCCCACCAGAACCCAAGAUCUCAGAGAGGGUAGCCGCAUCCCCUGAACUCCGCCAAUCAGACACUCCCAGCAAGAGUGAUGCUGCUGACCAAGAGUUUCUGCCCCCAAGAAAACGUCCAAAUUUUUUGGCCCUAAAGCCACAACCCUUUGUUCCCAAGUCAUCCUUGGCUCUGAUGGGCACCACCCUGGUGAGCCCCGACACACCACGUCCUAAGAAGAGCUGCGUGCAAAUGUUCCUUAAUGGCUCAGCAUACACCUACUUGGGCCACAAGGUGUCCACCAAGACUUACUAUUGCUGCAUUUACCGGCAGCAGCCCAUGUAUGCACCGCAGGGGCCCAACUCCAAGCUUUCCAUGUACUCCAACUGGCAGAUCAAGCCGGAAGAUCCGUUCAAGCUGGUGCCCUGCCCUGCCAUGAGCCUGUACCAGUCCUGCAAGCGGGACCGCACCUUCACCGUGGCCCAGCCUAAGGAGCUUGACCUCAUCCAGACCCACUCUUCCUACUGGACCUUCAAGCAGAAGAAGGAGAAGCACAAGGAGGAGGAGGCCAGGCAAGGGGACAAAGAGGCACCUGAGAUAAAGAGUGAGGAGCCUACCAGUGCCAGCAGUGCCAAGGCAACAGAAGCUAGCUCAGAGGAGGCACCUGGUGUUGUCAUCAAGAGGGAGGCUGAGGACACCAGUGGGGACUGUCCUGGCCGCAGCAGUGACGACAGCGAAGGAACAGAGAGCAUCAGCAGCAACAAGCGCAUCAAGAUCUUUGAGGGCGGCUUCAAGAGCACUGAGGACUACACCUAUGUGCGGGGCCGUGGCCGCGGCCGGUACGUGUGUGGCACCUGUGGCAUCCGCUGCAAGAAGCCCUCCAUGCUCAGGAAACAUUGCCGCACACAUACCGACCUCCGCCCCUACGCAUGCAGCCACUGCUCCUUCAGCUUCAAGACCAAGGGCAACCUGACCAAACACCUGCGUUCCAAGGCUCACUACAAGCGGUGUGUGGAGAUGGGGGUGGUGCCGGUGCCCACCGUAGUGGAUGAGAGUCAUGUCAAUGAGGCAGCCCUGGCUUGGCAGGAUAAACUUGAGCAGGAGAGGAAACCUGACAGUCUGGAUGGUGAAGAUGAUGAUGAGGAUGAGGAUGAGGAUGAAGAAGAGGAUGUGGAUGAUGAGGAUGAAGAUGAAGAAGAUGAGGCAGCGAUGGAAGGCCACCAGUUCCAGGAUGCUCACGAGCACCACAGCAAGGGAGUGAUUACCCCUGGCACCUCCCACAGUGCCUCUGGCCCUGCCAUCACGUGCCCUGGGGAUAUCACUGGCAGUGCAGGCCUCCCCUCCUCCAGAUCUGGAGUGCUGGUGAUGCAGCACACUCCCAUUCCCUCCCUUCCAUCUUUCUCUUCCUCUUCUUCAUUGUCCAACUCUUCCUUAUCCAUACCUUCUUCCACCUCUACCACCAGCACCACCACCAUCACCCCUGCUGUCACUGUCACCACUUCCUCCUCCUUGUCCUCUGUUCCAUCCUCCUCUGCCUCCCCAUCUUCCAGCAGUUCCUCCUCACGGGUGGACUCCUCUAGGGACAGCCCCAUGGACCUCAGUGUGAGGCGUGGGGUGGGAGGUGGGGCAGCAGACAAGGCUGCUCCACACAGGCCCAGUUUCCUGCCUGUGUUGAGUCGGUCAGCACUGCUAGAGUCACCCGGCCUUCCCUCCCCCUCCACCCCAAUUCGGGAGCAUCCCUCAGAGAUCCUGUCUCCCGUCACGGAGUCGUCCAGCCUCCUCAAGUCCAUCUACCAGACCACAGAGCGUGCAGCACAGGUUUCCGCUGUGGUGCUGGACCCCAGCACUGAGAAUGGCAGCAGUCGCUCCAUGCUGAACGCCUACCUCAGGGAGCGGGCUGUCCUGGACACAGCCAUCAAGCGUCAGCAGUACAGCUUCUCAGAUGCCUCGCCUGGUUCUCCUCAUCUACCUCCUGGGGAGUCCCAGGGGCAGGAGCAGGCUGCUGCUGCUGCAAGCCAGGAGGGCAAGAAUGGAGAAAGGAUCAGUCCCUCAGCACCUCUUUCCAACACAUCCAACACCACCAGCACCUUCACCACUUCCACCACCAUCUCUAACUCUGCCAUCAUCGUCACCUCCACCCAGGUCUCCUCCUCCUCCUCUGCCAGCAGCUCUGCCUCCAGGAUGCCCACACCUCCUGCCAACCUCACUGUCAUGAACAGUGGGGGCCUGGACACCAAGACGGCCUUCCUUGUGCCCAGCGGGGUGGUGCCGUCCUCCCUCAACAGGCUUACCAACGACGAUGGAAAGUGCAAAUGUACCUUCUGCCACAAGGAGUUCAACCGGCCUGCCCAGCUCAGCCUCCACAUGAACAUCCACUACAUGGAGCGCCCCUUCCGCUGCGACUCCUGUGCCGUCUCCUUCAGGACCAAUGGCCACCUGCAGAAACAUAAGCGCUCCGUCAGCCACUUCAACAAGGUGAACAUGAACAUGACCUUCGGGACGCCCAGCACUGACAACCCCCGUCCUUUCAAGUGUCACGACUGCAAGAUUGCCUUCCGUAUCCACGGCCACCUGGCCAAGCACCUGCGCUCCAAGAUGCACAUCAUGAAACUGGAAUGCCUGGGCAAGCUGCCCUUCGGCACCUAUGCCGAGAUAGAGCGUUCUGGUGCCAACCUUAAUGAGAUAGACACUACAGACUGUGAUAACUCCCUGGAGAGUCUGCAGGCCAUGGCCUCCAGGCUGUACGAAAAGGACCCCACCAAGCUGGCUGCCUUGAGGAAGGGCCGAGAGCACCACCGCGUCCGCACCAUUAGUAACUCCUCUACUAACUCUGAUGACUACCCACUGCAGGAUGAUCAGGACGACCCUGUGGCAGGCAUUGGCCACGACGAAGACACAGAGUCCCUCAGCCAGCCUGCUGGCGUGUCACCUGUGUCAUGAGAAGUUCCUUGAGCCAGAGCACCUGAGCAGCCACCUGUAUAGUGUGCACAAAGUCUCUGUUUCAUACCGGAACAGCUAGCAUUCCCCCUUCAAUGUCCUCGGCUGGCAGGGGGAACACAAGCAGCUCUCGCACAAGGCAGGUCCUCUGUCCCCGAUGACUUGAGAUGUCUCCCUGUACCCAGCCACCCUCAUGCCCCCUGCCUGGUGCUUGCUUGAGUGCCUCGGGGUGUGUGAAGGGCCAGAGAGAAGGGUGUUAUGAACUGUGUUUGGCCAUUCAUUGUCCAAAAGCAACAAUUGCAAAAGUUUCCAAAACUGCAGUUGAUUUUUAUGCAUAACAAGAACUGUUUUGCUGAAGUGGCUUGUGAAAGUUUUGACAAACUUUGUCCAUAAUUUUCAUUGUGGCUCCAAGUGGUCUACUCUGUGCUCUGAAAAUGCUGACAUGCUGAACAGUCUAAAGUGAAUGAAGUGAGAUUCUGAGGUGAACAAUGGUGGCUCAAUAUUACACGUAUAAGUGAAUAUUUUGGAUAGAGAAUAUUUGUGGAUUUUAUAAAUACAUAUAAAAUUUAUCAGGCACUUAAAUUAUGCAUCAAAUGAAUCUUAGUUUCAGUAAAACCUGAGGCAGAUUUGAAAGGUUUAGAAACUUGUGAUAUUUUUUCUAAUAGGUUUCUGAUAUUAACAGUGGAUUCUGAUCCUCUCUGCGGGGCAAGACUGACACUGAUAUUACAGCUCCUAGCGAGCAGAGACCUGCAGGGUGCGUGUGAUGCUCAAGUGUGGUGUGUGUGGGGUGCUGCCUGGGCUGUCUUACUUCCAGUACAUAGCUAAUGCAGCUAAUACUAAUCUAUGUGUGAAGACAUUAUGUAUGUAUGUAUUUUUAUUGUAAAUUCUUUGUACUGAAAUAUCUUGUAUAGACACUGUGCCAAUAUCAGCUCACUUUGUUUUGAUUUCAUGGGAGAUGGAUAAUUUUCAGUUGUGUAAUGUUAAGUGUAUCAUCUGCUGUGCUCAAAGGCAUGGGAGCUUGUUGACCCCCGUAGACAUAUACUACUGUACCAUUCUUGUGUUGUGGGUUGUGCACCGGUCUGUGCUCAGAGUGCGGCCAGUUCCGUGACUGGCCAUAUUUUUACCUGGUCGACUCAUAGUGUCAUCAUCUUAUUUUUGCUGUACUAGUUGUAGAGUUUGUAUGAAUGUCAAAUGUUUCAACUUGCCAUAGGGAAAGAUAUUUUGGUGAAGAAUAUUGAUGUUUUUAUACAGCGACAAAAGAAGGCUUGAGUCAUUUUGUAGCGAGUGGCAAGUGGCGCCGUGAAGGGAACCACUGGGGUGUUUGGUCACACCAUUCAUCAUCACCUUCAGGUCUGACAGUAACCUUGAAAUCAGCAACUACUUCUCUUUAAAAAGACGUCAUUAACAAACUUAACUUUAACUUCUCAUGAGGUGAUCAAUAUGAAGAAGUGCAGACUGAGAGCGUCCCACAGCCAAGCCCCACCAGUGUCCCAGAGCGGUUCCUCGUGCCUGCCCCAGCGCAUGUGGUCUUGAUGCGUGGCUUGCAGUGACGUGUGUAGGAGGGAUGGUCACUUGGGGCUGCUGGCAUGUGCGACACCCCUGCUCACCUUAAUUCGAGCUUAAAAACCACAAACUGUUCCAUGCAAGAGUGAGAGCAAGUACUUGAAACCUUGGCCUCCCUCCCUAACAGUGCAGUGUGUGUGUGUGUGUGUGUGUGUGUGUGUGUGUGUGUGUGUGUGUGUGUGUGUGUGUGUGUGUGUGUGUGUGUAGACAAAGGUGACCAAGCUGGCUACUGGACCACCUCAUGCAGGGAAGCAGGAGGGCCACUACAAUGCUACAGCUGCACAACUCAGAGGGAGCACAAACUUUCCAACUGACAAUCCUUUUCUAUUUGAGGCAAAUAAUGAGGUAUGGUAUCUUGAGAGAGAGAGAGAGAGAGAGAGAGAGAGAGGUAUCAGGGAAUAUAUUGGUACUUUUAACUGUUAACUGUGAGUCUCUGGGAGCAUAAUUUUUGUUAUAAAGUUUAUUCAGUGUUUUUAAAAACUAGUAGAAACAUGUACAUCAGUUGUUGUUAUUUCAUAAAUGUAAAAAAAUGAUAAGAUGAUAUCCUUCAGCAUUUUAACCUGUUAGUGGUGACAGCAAUCCCAGAUCACUAUUGUGUUUGUUUCCAUGGACCAGUGGUGGGCGGCACCAGUGUCUGUAAGGGAGGAGGGAGGGUGGGAGUCUGUGGGUCAGUCCUCAGUGGAGUGAUGGUGUGGAUGGGUGAGGGAGUUGAGGGCUUAUUCUGCCACUGCCAUUUUGGGUCCAAAGUAACCUACAUUUUAAUUAAUACAUAUCUAAACAUAGUAGAUAAGCCUUAACAGAGACCAGUGAACCAGUAGAACAAUGCCUAUUCACCAGUAACAAUGCGCACCACCACACCAGUCCCCAGAAUGGCAUGGGGGAUGGCCACCUUGUCUGGGCCUCCAGAUGGCUCCCUCACACCUGCAGAUGAAAAACUAGAAUGAGAACAUCACCAGGAUCUAUUUUUGCACUGUUGUUAUUAUUACUAACGUUUAUUUUCUUGAACCAAGGACCAUGUUUCACUAACAGGGAAUGCCUUGCCACAAAGGAGAGUGUCACUGAGUGGGUUGUAUGUUCCUCUCACCAGCCUGCCUGUGUGACAUGGCAUGGUGGUGUGUGGUAGUGUGUGGUGUGUGGCUGGCAGCAGGUGUUAGUCAAACAUGUAGCCUUGGCAAGCAAUCCAUCAUGUUCUUAUAAGCCAAUCUUGCUCUUCUAAGUGUUAAUUUGGGCUUAAUUCUGUCUGGCCACUUUUUAUGAUGGACAGUAUCUAAUUUUGUUGGUACAAGAACAUACAUUUCUGAAGGUUUUGUAAAGUGUUUAUGUUAUUUUCAUUAUUAUUAUUAUUAUUAUUAUUAUUAUUAUUAUUAUUAUUAUUAUUAUUAUUAUUAUUAUUAUUAUUAUUAUUGCUGUUGUUACUACUACUACUACUACUACUAUCAUUAUCAACAUCAUUGCCAUCAUCAUUACUACUAUUACUGCUAUUAUUUUUGUGCAUAUUUUAAGAGGCACAUCUGAUGAAUAAUAAGUAUUUGGAUGAGUCCAUAUGACAAAAUGGAGAGUGUGUUUGAAGUUGUGUUGAAAUAUAUGUAGAAUUUAUUUGAUCAGAUUCUUCUUUCUUGAGCAUCAAUAAUUGUUACAUGUGUGUGUGUGUGUGUGUGUGUGUGUGUGUGUGUGUGUGUGUGUGUGUGUGUGUGUGUGUGUGUGUGUGUGUGUGCUUUGUAUUGUUUGUUACCUUAUAUGCAGCUGUGUGUGUGUGUGUGUGUGUGUGUGUGUGUGUGUGUGUGUGUGUGUGUAUGUGUACGUGCGCAUGAGCUCACACGUACGUUACUUUGUGCAAUCUAUAGUUUUAUUUUUAUUUAUACGAAGAGUCACAUUGCUGGUAAAUUUACGAUUUUUCCUUCUGAGUGACGAGCUGCUUGUAUUCCGUUACCAUGGACAGCUGCAUUGAACAGUAGUCAGACUCCUGCAGCCUACUGAAAACUUUUAUAAAUUAGUUGAAAUAUUUAGAUAUCUGCAUUUGAUUGUUGUAUGAAUCUGUAUAUAUGUAUAUUAAAAAUCCUUAUCA